Molecule: ribosomal RNA, 262 nt
Filed under: uncultured bacterium
Lineage: Bacteria
Description: partial 16S ribosomal RNA
Rfam family: Bacterial small subunit ribosomal RNA
Source: RNAcentral
UCCUACGGGGGGCAGCAGUGAGGAAUAUUGGUCAAUGGGCGCGAGCCUGAACCAGCCAAGUAGCGUGAAGGAUGACUGCCCUACGGGUUGUAAACUUCUUUUAUAAAGGAAUAAAGUGAGGCACGUGUGCCUUUUUGUAUGUACUUUAUGAAUAAGGAUCGGCUAACUCCGUGCCAGCAGCCGCGGUAAUACGGAGGAUCCGAGCGUUAUCCGGAUUUAUUGGGUUUAAAGGGAGCGUAGAUGGGCUGUUAAGUCAGUUGUG